RNAcentral lists this ribosomal RNA (390 nucleotides) under uncultured bacterium. RNAcentral's name for it is "bacterial SSU rRNA". It matches the Rfam family "Bacterial small subunit ribosomal RNA", at positions 29 to 444 of the family's 1533-position model. The record is from RNAcentral.
AGCGAACGCUGGCGGCAGGCUUAACACAUGCAAGUCGAACGGGCGUAGCAAUACGUCAGUGGCAGACGGGUGAGUAACGCGUGGGAACGUACCUUUUGGUUCGGAACAACCCAGGGAAACUUGGGCUAAUACCGGAUAAGCCCUUACGGGGAAAGAUUUAUCGCCGAAAGAUCGGCCCGCGUCUGAUUAGCUAGUUGGUGUGGUAACGGCGCACCAAGGCGACGAUCAGUAGCUGGUCUGAGAGGAUGAUCAGCCACAUUGGGACUGAGACACGGCCCAAACUCCUACGGGAGGCAGCAGUGGGGAAUAUUGGACAAUGGGCGCAAGCCUGAUCCAGCCAUGCCGCGUGAGUGAUGAAGGCCCUAGGGUUGUAAAGCUCUUUUGUGCGGG